Molecule: long non-coding RNA, 2042 nt
Organism: Odontomachus brunneus
Lineage: Eukaryota; Metazoa; Arthropoda; Insecta; Hymenoptera; Formicidae
Exons: 7
Source: RefSeq, a predicted model, not a curated record
CUACUCUAGACCAAUCGCGUUCGUUUCGCACUACGAAGUUGUCAUCGUGGUUAUUCAAUCUAAGCGUUGGUAAUGAAUCGUGCGAAAUGCACGAUCUUUUCGCGCCAAGCAGUCAGCCAUGGGCACAUAUCGACCCAUAUUUCUUGACAUUUCUUGCAUCUUUUAUCCGUCGAAAGUGAGUCUCGCGCGUUAAUAAGUCUCGGAAGUGUCGAGAAUAGCGAUGUGCGAUCGCCGGGCCGUAUCAUGAAGACGUCAUUUGGUGAUGCUUAUGGAGCGUGUGUCGAUCGAGAAACGUUCAUAGACGUUCAAAUGAUGCCAGUGAAUAGCAAAGCUCAUUAAUCUUCGCGACGAAAAAUAGACGCAAUCUGCAGAUAUAACCUCAAUUACAGGAUGAUGCUUGUAAAGCGUGCGUCGAUUGAGAAACGUUCGCGGCAUUCAAGUGGCAUCGAUGUGAAAGAAGGGAGUGAUAAAAACACAAUCAAAUAUUCUACGCAAACGUAUCAGGAAAACUAUUCUUGCAUUCUGAGCAACAAAAUUGCGCGACAACGCCGAAUUAUGAAACAAGAGAAGAAACGCAAUCGUGCUCCUUGAUGCUUGAACGCAAGAGGUUGAAGUAAUAGAAAGAUCUGGCGGAGGCGCCCUCCACCUCCCCCUCCCCGCGACGGAUGUGUAGCUCUGGUGGAUGCAGAUGCAGCACCGGAGGAUCCGGUUCGGGCCGAGCUGGGUCGGCUGGAAGAUACGUUUCACCGACUAUCUCUACCUCCCCUCUGCGGUCGAAAGACGAGAUACAGCCGUCAGAACGAGGCUCGAAUUACGACCGUAAAGGGCUAAUCCACCGGUAUCUAUGCGGAGCUUGUUCGUUAAGCCGAAUCCCUAAUUCUAACCGGCAAAACUGUAUUCUUUGUUCCACAUCUGGUUGUAGCGAAAGCUACGUGGCCGACCCCGAAUUCCAGCUGCUUCACUGAGAUUCAAUAGAACAGACGCAGUCACGCGGCUCUAGGGGAUGCGAUACCUGGGGGGAGGAUUCGGUUCGGGCCUGUCUGAGUCGGCUCGAAGGUGUUUCCAUUCAGUCCCGAGCCGGCGAGUAACACGCACACACACCACGGACUACGUGCGUCGGUGCGUCAUCUAUUGCUCCUCUGAACAGUCAAAACAUUUGGGAUCUUCAAGACGAUCAACUUUGCCUUUGUGUCUCGCGGACUAUUCCGGGCGCUUCCAUUCAGUUCCGAGCCGGAGAGAGACGCGUAUACUAUAGACUACGCGUGUCAGUGCGUUACUUAUUGCUCCUCUCGGGUGAUUAAACUAUUCCGUCGGUACUCUGAGAUACUUAAUUAAUCUCUCGUCUGCGUCGCGUUAUUUAACACGUGCACCUUCGGUUGAAUCAUGUCUGCGCGAGUGUCAGUGUCAGUGCCGCGACGGAGCAGCCAGGAUGUUGGUGCCAGGAGCCAGGGUAGAGGACGCAGGAGGCCGGGACGUGGUACAUCAUAUAAUUCCAAGAUAUUUCUCCUCUCAUCAUGGGGACGGAAUACUCGAGGAAUCGUGAAUCCGAAUGAUGAAAAUUGAGAGAGAUUCGCCAGGAGAACAUGGAAAAUUUCAAAAUCUCGACGAGAACGACACGAUCUUUCGCAUGCCGCGGGUUUAAUUUCAAUCAGAUACCUCUCUGCCCUCCUCCUCCUCUCCUUUUUUCUAUAUUUUUUGUUUCUUUCUCUUUUUGCGAAAAUUCGCUUCCCCCGACGUAAUUUCCAAGAUAUUUAAUCUUCGUGGGCUUCAAGCCAACGCGACACCGGUGUGAUGUCCGACUGGACUUCGUUAUAAUUAACAAGGGAACGUUCCGCGAACGCGGAUAUUCUCUCUUCUCUUUUUCCCGCUGAGCAGCGGGAUCCUCUUUGUGAGCCGCGUAUGUCAGAAUAUCGAUUCGUUCGGGGGAUGCUGAAUAGCUGGAAUUAACAAGACGAAUAACAUCAGAAACCGACUCGCGCGUACCACGCAGUUGCCGCCCACAUGUCCCUCGACUCCCCCAUCACCUCCUCUCUCUCUCUCUC